UAUUCCGCUUUUCAACGCCGACACCAUUCAGAGGUAUGUAUUUUAAAUCUUCGUAAAAUAAAAGAAACAAUAAUCUAAUGGAAUAUAGCCAGCUCUUUCCAUGUGCAUCGCCAUCUUGGCUUAUAUGUUGACAAAGAUGCAGCCACCUUAUUGGUGGAGCACGCUCAUGUGACAGACUGUGCAACCACUUCCUGGCAAAAUAUUAUUCCGCUCAGAGAAAAGUAGUCCGUGACAAAACUUAUCGCCAUAGCCGCUUUGCCACGAUAUCAACGACAAAAAUAAUUGGUAGCUCUGUAAGGCCCCCGCUUUGUAUUCGUAUGAAGAUCACAUGAUCAUAACAUGAAAAAAAGCUUCUCUUUAUGGACGGCACAACUUCCGACCAUGCUUCCGACAGAGGAAUCUUUGCGCAGAUGCAGUCACUAGUUCGUUGGUGUGGGAAGUUUGAAGACACGCAGGAAAAAGUUUCAAAGAAGUAAAUUUUACCUCAUUCAGCGGUUAAGAGGUGAUUCACCAUCCAGUCCAAAAACAAUUUUGAUCCCCUCUGCAUUCCUCUACACCGGCUGUGCAAGGUCAGACAUCAUCUGCAGUCCCUGACAGGGGCCGUUAUGGAAAAAAAAGUCAGAAGUCAAGCAGAGCUCCUAACACCCCAGUAGUGUCCUGGAGGGCCUGUGAUAGACGGGGCAGUCCUGUGAUGACCCGUGCCCGGACCCCACAGGAGACUCCUAGACUUCAAACUGGAUCCCCUGCCCAUUCUUCCCAAGGUACAAAUUGACCAUGGUAUUAAUAUUAAAUAGUGAUGUUGCUAUGAUGACUUAUACUUCUCUUUUCUUUGACACACAGCUCAUUCCUCUGUAGGUCAGCGGCCCAAA
Molecule: long non-coding RNA, 869 nt
Organism: Acanthochromis polyacanthus (spiny chromis)
Lineage: Eukaryota; Metazoa; Chordata; Actinopteri; Pomacentridae
Exons: 5
Source: RefSeq, a predicted model, not a curated record